This 76-nucleotide transfer RNA is filed under the name Methanosarcinales archaeon. Its description in RNAcentral is "tRNA-Ala". It matches the Rfam family "tRNA". From Rfam's summary of the family: Transfer RNA (tRNA) molecules are approximately 80 nucleotides in length. Their secondary structure includes four short double-helical elements and three loops (D, anti-codon, and T loops). The record is from RNAcentral. RNAcentral also lists the same sequence under 1 other name. Lineage: Archaea; Methanobacteriati; Methanobacteriota; Methanomicrobia; Methanosarcinales.
GGGGUCUUAGCUCAGAUGGGAGAGCACUUGCCUUGCACGUAAGAUGUCCGGAGUUCGAUCCUCCGAGAUUCCACCA